RNAcentral lists this long non-coding RNA (2118 nucleotides) under Lathyrus oleraceus (garden pea). RNAcentral's name for it is "Pisum sativum (pea) long non-coding RNA (PSAT_LNC027274)". Lineage: Eukaryota; Viridiplantae; Streptophyta; Magnoliopsida; Fabales; Fabaceae. The record is from RNAcentral.
GAAUUAUUGAAGAGAGUAAUAAAGAAAACUUGUAAUUUCUUUGCAUUGGGAAACUACACAAGAAUUGAGUUACAAUGUCAUCAUGUCUUAUUGAGCUAUUUUUAUAUAUUGAAAUGGAACUACAUAAUGUAUAAUUACUUUUACAAGUUUCCUUGAACCUAAGAAACUUCCAUUUGGUACUGAUAAAAAAUUAACAAAACACCUAAACUUUAGGAAUUACAAGCUCUCUAAGGUCCUUUCUUCUUAAUUCCAAGUCCUUAGGAUUUUCUCUAUUUCUCCACUUUCCUAUUUUCCUCAUUAUUCAAACAAUGCAAGGUUGCCAAACAUUAAGAAAAAAUCAAAUGAAUAUCAAAACCUCAUGCAAUUCAUAUUCAGUCUCAAAUUCAUAAAAAUACUCAACAAACACGUUUGAACCAAAUUCUCAUUUUGCCUAAGUUCAAACAAGAGGUGAAACUAUUUUGAAUUUGUUUGUUGAUAACACAAAAAGGGGAGAGAUACAAGUUUUAAUUACUGCAGUAAAAUCUACACACAUUCAAUUUCAUUUUACCAAAUUCAUAAAGAAAAACAAAUUCAUAAUCAUAGCAAGGCAUUUAAAAAAAGGGAGUUAAUGAAGUAAAGUUGCAGUAGUGAAAAGUUCAAGCAAAUUUCAAAUUGCACAAAACAAAUUCAGCAAGCAACCCAAAUAGCAUGGUACAAUAUGCUCCCUCCCCAUUCCCAAUUCCACUACCUUCCCACUCCCAUUUCACAGCUCAUUAUACCAACAGAUUCUCAUCCUUACCCAUAACCCUAAAAUUGACACACACUUGAAAAACAUCACAUGUAUAUUAUUCCUCAAUUAUCCUUAUAAAAACUAAUACUCAAACACAACAUGGACACAAUAGAAAAAAUACAUAUCAGAUAAAGAAACCCUAACGACCAAUUCAUAUACAUUGAAAUGAAAAUCGAUGACCCAAAUAUCCAUAUUGUAGAAUACACACAAAAGAACCCACUGCAUACAACACUAUCUGCAUAGCAAGAACAAUAACACGGAGGAAGAAGGAUAAACGCAAAGAAGAAGAGAAAAAUCAGAGACAAGUCAUAAGGGAGAAGAGAUGAGAGUUACCUGAGAAUUUUUUUCUUUGCUCUGGUGAUGAUGAAAGAGGUAAUCUUCUUUUCUAACCUUCAACUUUUUUUUUACGUUUGAUUAAUGUGAUGUUGUUUGAUCAUUGAAUAUUUAUGGACUUGUUGUCUCAUUUUAUUGUGCUUUGUGUUUUUUGGAUGUUAGGGUGUCGACUUGUGGGCCUGGAAAAUUAGGUUAGGAGUUUUAGUUGCCAUUUUAUGGUGUUUUUGAACUCAAGAGGGUUUUUAAGGUAGGUUUUAAGGUUUGAGGGGAGUUCCAGUGACCUAUGGCGGCGACACAUCGGCCUUCACGGUCACUGCUGGGUGUGCCGCCGCCUAGUUGCAUAUGUUCUUCCUUUUUUCUGGGUAUGAUGAAGGUGUUCAUGAGAUUGGUUUAAAAGUGUGGAGAGAAAGAAGAUAGUUUGAUAAGAGAAGAGAUAGAUAGAGAGAGAGAGAGAGAGAAUUAUCAAAAUGAACCCUGUCUCUCAGGAUGCAUUGCUUAUACCCUUUCCUCUGUCCAUGGAUGUGUUCCAAGUGACACCAUCCCUAUCCUCUCUUGUAAGUGGACUAGGACCUAUUCAACUUAGGGAUCUUGUGCAUUAUUCCCACCUCUAGCUAUCAUAUGAACUCUCAUAUGCCAUUGGAUCUAGGUGGACUGAUAAAAUAAGCAUAUCCAACGCCCCCUGGUUGAGUCAACAGUGUUGACUCCCAAGUGGGCUCUUAAAACUUGGGCAUGCACCCAGUUUGCUCUCUACACCCUCUUUAUGCUUUUCUUUUGUUUGAGCUUUUUUUUAUAGUAUUUAGCCCAUGUUUCAUAGUUUUUUUUUUCUUUUAUUAUUAUCUUUUUUUUCAUGCAUGAUUUUUAUAUUAUUUGUUUAUUUUUACUUUUGAAAUUUUAUAUUUUUUAAGUUUUUAUAUAUUUGUUGUGUAAAUAUGGUGCAAGCAUUUAUUUUUCUUUUAUUUAAAAAUCAUAUCUAACUAAAAAAUAAAAAAUUAUUAUUUAAAAGAAACUUAUUAAAA